RNAcentral lists this long non-coding RNA (952 nucleotides) under Fukomys damarensis (Damara mole-rat). RNAcentral describes it as "lncRNA (ENSFDAG00000026120.1)". Lineage: Eukaryota; Metazoa; Chordata; Mammalia; Rodentia; Bathyergidae. The record is from RNAcentral.
UUUAGACAUUAAAUUUGUUUUCCACUUUUAAGUACUUUUAAAUUUUGUUUUGCAUUACAAUGGAGAAUUCCGCCUGGAAUUGAGUCUUGGUUCUACUUCUCAGUUACAUCAUCUCAAGCAAAUCGCAAGUUUCAGUGUCAGAUAAAAUAUCUUUCUGCCUUCUUCCCAAGAGUGUUGAAGAUCAGAGUGUCCUGAAUAUUAUAAUUCCCAGGGAAGAGAUGAUUACAGUGAACUGAACAAAGGAAGUGAUGCAAAUCCUUGAGCAGAAAGGGAGGCAUCGCCAUGCCCAGCGGAUUCCAUCUCAACUUUUAAAUGAUGGAAAUGGACCCAGAAGUGUGCCAGAAGCAAAAGUUGUCAACAAGAUCCACUACUCCACAACUGUGAGCCUUGCCACUUGCUAAGGCCUUUCUUCUUCCUGGUGCCAUAGAGUUUCUCUGCUCUCUCAAGUUUAUAAUUUUUCGGCUCUCUCACUGCACAGCCCUCCUCACUACCAUGAUAAUAUUCAUGUAGCCAAUUAACCUAGGACAGUAAAUCUCAGAGAGAUCCAGUGUAGCCAGCAGAACUCCUGCAGGCAGCAGCACCCGGUGCCUGAGCCAGUUCUGACCAAGGCUCACAGUGCUCCAGAGCAGCCCUAGCACUCCUUUCACAUCACCCACAAUGCACUGCUUUCCCAUUGUAUCAAUGGUAGGCCACAACUUUCCCAUGUCUUAGCUGAAAGUUUCAUGGUGUGCUUUAGUCGACCUCACUCUCGAGUUCUCUGAAAUGCUAAGUCCAUGGGAGUGGUAUUAAUAUAAGGCAUUAGUUGUCAUAUGGAAACUACAAGGCAAGAGCAUGGAAAAGAAGUGGCUCCACCUCCUCAGGAAGAGUAAUGCAGUGGCAGCUAGCUGGAUGAAAGCAGGGUUUUCUUCCUUGUACUCUCCUGAUGACUCCAGUGAAAAAAAUAAAACAUAGA